CCCAGUUCGGACUGUAGUCUGCAACCCGACUACACGAAGCCGGAAUCGCUAGUAAUCGCGGAUCAGAAUGCCGCGGUGAAUACGUUCCCGGGUCUUGUACACACCGCCCGUCACGCCAUGGGAGUCGGAAAUGCCCGAAGUCAGUGACCGAACCGAAAGGAAGGAGCUGCCGAAGGUGGAGCCGGUAACUGGGGUGAAGUCGUAACAAGGUAGC
This 214-nucleotide ribosomal RNA is filed under the name uncultured bacterium. RNAcentral's name for it is "partial 16S ribosomal RNA". It matches the Rfam family "Bacterial small subunit ribosomal RNA", at positions 1287 to 1500 of the family's 1533-position model. The record is from RNAcentral.